GACCUGAUGGUGUAGUGGUAACAUCUUUGCUUGCAUUACCAUCUCGCGGUUCUUUCAGCAGGAGUCCCUUGUUCGACUCAAGAUCAGGCCA
This is a non-coding RNA of Mycena latifolia, 91 nucleotides long. The record is from the annotation of a GenBank genome assembly. NCBI's taxonomy places the organism in Eukaryota, Fungi, Basidiomycota, Agaricomycetes, Agaricales, Mycenaceae.